Molecule: long non-coding RNA, 1490 nt
Organism: Acinonyx jubatus (cheetah)
Lineage: Eukaryota; Metazoa; Chordata; Mammalia; Carnivora; Felidae
Exons: 3
Source: RefSeq, a predicted model, not a curated record
AGAGAGGGAGACACAGAAUCCAAAGCAGGCUCCAGGAUCUAAGCCGUCAGCACAGAGCCCGAUGUGGGACUAGAACCCACGAACCAUGAGAUCAUGACCUGAGUCAAAGUCGGAUGCUUAACUGACUGAGCCACCCAGCUGCCCUGAGAACUAUAUGACACCAUUGGAAACAUUGGUUAUGUUACCAAGGCUUGGACUGGAAUGUCAUAUUUGAGAGAGACAUGCAUUGACUCAGAUAUGACCGGACAGAAUUAAGAUUUGAGGUUGACUUUAUGGAGCCGAUGAAGCCCCUUGGAAAUGUUGGCCUGAUACUUUACUUACAGAGUUCCCAGAAGCCAUACCAGAUACAUGUAAGCAGUUCCUGACUUCUUUGCCCAGCCAACAGAGAUCCUUACUACUUGAAACAAAUCCACCUGACAUUCACUCUGUACUCUACAACAAUGGCCUUCCAUAAUAGUUACUUGUAGGGAUAGAAAGUGGCCAAUUUCAGUUCACAGGUAAAGACAUCUCUAUAACCCCUAUCAGCUUAAAAAAGUUACAGAAGAUGAGCCCUUCACUCUUCAACAGCCCUAAAGAUUUAAGGACCAAAAAUUGGUUGGGGGUGGGGGGAAUGAUGAAGGAUAGAAGCAGAAAAAUGUUCACCUUCAGCCUGGAAGGCUGAUCUAUAGCCUGCAUAUUUCUGAUAAGGAUCAAGUAUGCAUUGGUUGCUACCUUCUUAAAGGGUCUCACGACUGCCUGUAUAUCUUACUGAUAAUUAAUAUCAAACUGAAUGAGAAGUGCCAGAGAAAUCAUCAAAAGUAGUUUUAUGAGUAGAAAUUAAAAGAAGACAUUUGUGAUCUAAUAUUCCCUGCAUGUCCCCUCCCCCUUGAGCACUAAGCAUAUAACCCAACAGCUUCAGGGGUUCCUGGGUGGCUCAGUCGGUUUGCAUCCAACUUUGGCUCAGGUCAUGAUCUCACGGUUUGUGGGUUCGAGCCUGUGCUGACAGCUCAGAGCCUGGAGCCUGUUUCAGAUUCUGUCUCCCUGUCUCUCUGCCCCUCCCCACUCAUCCUCUGUCUCCCUCUGUCUCAAAAAUAAAUAAACAUUUAAAAAAAUUACAUUAUAACCCAGCAGCUUCAUAGAGCAAAGGUGCAGUUCUUUCUGCCCACGGGUUCUGUCUCUGUGCUACUUACUUUCUAUAGGUUAUAGCAUACAAUAUCUCAAGAAUUCUUUCUUUGCCUUUGAGCUCAAUGACCCUGCAACAAAACUAUAUAGGUAAUGGGUGUUUCAGUGGUAGAUUUUAACUUACUAGUUCAGUUUUUUCCAGUUCCAAUUUGGUAGGUAGCAUAUUCCAAGAAAUUUGCCAUUUAAUUUUUUUAACUGUUUACUGUUUAUAUAGUAUUAAAAUGAAAAUAUUCUCUGUAUCUCUAAUUUAUUUUAGUUCCUGAAAUUAUUUGUGCCUCUAUUCACACCCUGAUUAUAUCCACGAAAGCAAUUUUUUUGUUUUAUUAAUU